GCCCCUUCAAGUACCAAUCAUUUUUCACUGCUUAAAUUUUCUGUAUCUAUAACCGUUCAAUAGUUAUAGGGAAAUGAAAAACUUUUGAAAAUCUAAAAUAUGACCUUGACCUUUGACCUUGACCUAUAUUUUCAAGUUUUGGUCCAAUGAACUCAAAUCUGAAGACCCGCAGUCUUUACGACUUACGGUUCAUGAGAUUUAUA
This 203-nucleotide long non-coding RNA is filed under the name Mytilus galloprovincialis (Mediterranean mussel). Lineage: Eukaryota; Metazoa; Mollusca; Bivalvia; Mytilida; Mytilidae. The record is from RNAcentral.